UAGUAACGGCGAGUGAAGCGGCAACAGCUCAAAUUUGAAAUCUGGCCCUCGGGUCCGAAUUGUAAUUUGUAGAGGAUGAUUUUGGUGCGGUAUCUUCCGAGUUCCUUGGAACAGGACGCCUUAGAGGGUGAGAGCCCCGUACGGUUGAAUGCCUAGCCUCUGUAAAUCUCCUUCGACGAGUCGAGUAGUUUGGGAAUGCUGCUCUAAAUGGGAGGUAAAUUUCUUCUAAAGCUAAAUAUUGGCCAGAGACCGAUAGCGCACAAGUAGAGUGAUCGAAAGAUGAAAAGCACUUUGAAAAGAGGGUUAAAUAGCACGUGAAAUUGUUGAAAGGGAAGGAUUUGUGACCAGACUUUUUCUGGGCGGAUCAUCCGGGGUUCUCUCCGGUGCACUUUGCCCAGUAAAGGCCAGCAUCGAUUUUCGGCGGCGGAUAAAAGCAGUGGGAAUGUGGCUCCCUACGGGGAGUGUUAUAGCCCAUUGUAUAAUACGCUGCUGGGGAUCGAGGUACGCGCUUCUGCAAGGAUGCUGGCGAAAGGCCAAGCAAUCACCCGUCUUAA
Molecule: ribosomal RNA, 554 nt
Filed under: Pestalotiopsis portugallica
Lineage: Eukaryota; Fungi; Ascomycota; Sordariomycetes; Amphisphaeriales; Sporocadaceae
Description: partial large subunit ribosomal RNA
Rfam family: Eukaryotic large subunit ribosomal RNA
Source: RNAcentral